UUGGGCACUCUAAAGAGACUGCCGAUGACAAAUCGGAGGAAGUGGGGAUGACGUCAAAUCAUCAUGCCCUUUAUGUCCUGGGCUACACACGUGCUACAAUGGUCGGUACAACGAGAAGCAAGCCAGCGAUGGCAAGCAAAUCUCUAAAAGCCGAUCCCAGUUCGGAUUGCAGGCUGCAACUCGCCUGCAUGAAGUCGGAGUUGCUAGUAAUCGCGGAUCAGAAUGCCGCGGUGAAUGCGUUCCCGGGUCUU
This 251-nucleotide ribosomal RNA is filed under the name uncultured Eubacteriales bacterium. RNAcentral's name for it is "uncultured Clostridiales bacterium partial 16S ribosomal RNA". It matches the Rfam family "Bacterial small subunit ribosomal RNA", at positions 1131 to 1382 of the family's 1533-position model. The record is from RNAcentral. Lineage: Bacteria; Bacillati; Bacillota; Clostridia; Eubacteriales.